AGAGUUUGAUCCUGGCUCAGGACGAACGCUGGCGGCGUGCCUAACACAUGCAAGUCGAGCGAAGUGACUCUGAGAGAAGUUUUCGGAUAGAUCGAAGAGUCAUCUUAGCGGCGGACGGGUGAGUAACGCGUGAGAAACCUGCCUUUCACAAAGGGAUAGCCUCGGGAAACUGGGAUUAAUACCUUAUGAAACUGAAUUACCGCAUGGUAGAUCAGUCAAAGCGAAUAAGCGGUGAAAGAUGGUCUCGCGUCCUAUUAGCUAGUUGGUGAGGUAACGGCUCACCAAGGCUUCGAUAGGUAGCCGGCCUGAGAGGGUGAACGGCCACACUGGAACUGAGACACGGUCCAGACUCCUACGGGAGGCAGCAGUGGGGAAUAUUGCACAAUGGAGGAAACUCUGAUGCAGCGACGCCGCGUGAAUGAUGAAGGCCUUCGGGUUGUAAAGUUCUGUCCUUGGGGAAGAUAAUGACGGUACCCAAGGAGGAAGCCCCGGCUAACUACGUGCCAGCAGCCGUGGUAAUACGUAGGGGGCGAGCGUUGUCCGGAAUUAUUGGGCGUAAAGGGUUCGCAGGCGGUCUGAUAAGUCAGAUGUGAAAGGCGUAGGCUCAACCUACGUAAGCAUUUGAAACUGUCAGACUUGAGUUAAGGAGAGGAAAGUGGAAUUCCUAGUGUAGCGGUGAAAUGCGUAGAUAUUAGGAGGAAUACCAGUGGCGAAGGCGACUUUCUGGACUUAUACUGACGCUGAGGAACGAAAGCGUGGGUAGCAAACAGGAUUAGAUACCCUGGUAGUCCACGCCGUAAACGAUGAGUGCUAGGUGUUGGGGGUCAAACCUCGGUGCCGCAGCUAACGCAUUAAGCACUCCGCCUGGGGAGUACGUACGCAAGUAUGAAACUCAAAGGAAUUGACGG
This 908-nucleotide ribosomal RNA is filed under the name uncultured Eubacteriales bacterium. RNAcentral's name for it is "bacterial SSU rRNA". It matches the Rfam family "Bacterial small subunit ribosomal RNA", at positions 8 to 916 of the family's 1533-position model. Lineage: Bacteria; Bacillati; Bacillota; Clostridia; Eubacteriales. The record is from RNAcentral.